CACUAGGUGGCAGCGCUAUUUCAUCUGUGGUCGACAGAACGUCAUGCUUGCUUGAGUACAAACAAGUCAAAAUAUCGCCGUAAAAUAAAUCGUCUGUAAACAUCUGGAAGCCGAAGAUCUGAAGGAGCAUGUGCAGGAAAACCAUCCAAUCUCAUCUUCAUCAUCCGCAUUUUUGGCCCUAUUCUUCGCUUCACAAAUAUAUACGCAAAAACACACAUACUUGGACUGAACUUAUGUUUUUGCCAUCCGUUGGCAUAUUUUUUGAGGUUGAGAUGAAAAGAGUGUUUUCAAAGGCUCUCUGGUUUUUGCCUAGUAAUCAAGGAUUUGAGCUGGAAACACAGAGGUCAAAGUUUGACCCCAGGUAUGGAUGACACCAUUAUUCAACUCAGUUAACCCAGCGUUGCUCCUGAGCCUGCCUGACAAUUGAGAAUGAGUUCCAGAAGAAGAGAUGUUGCCUCGAGGAUUUUGGGCCUCAGCAGUCUAUAGGCCAUGGAAAUGGAAAACGUCUGUUUGCAGUGACCAGAGGAUUUCGCUUAUGAGAUUGAUGCACCUUGAAAUUCUCUGUCAGUCUUGUCAUGAACAUAUGCAUUAGUGUGCAUCCUGGUUUUUCUUCUUCUUUUUUUUUGUGCUCACACGACAGCUUUCUUCUGUCUGGAUCUGUUUUUAACAUGCCAGUUUUACUUUUAUGCAUUUGCCAGAUCCUCUUAUCCAAAUAGACUUAAAUUGCAUUCAAGGUCCACAAGUUAUCAGUUCAUGCGUUCCCUGGAAAUUGAACCAAUGUUCUGAAGCAGCGUGCUUUAUUGUUUGAACUACAGGAAAGGCAAGCUGGAAUUGAAAAGCUUCACCGGCUUCAUACUUUGUGGUUCUUGCUUUCCAAUUGCAAAUUAAGGUGAGACAUUCAACAUUGAGAUCCAUUGAGAUGAGAGCAGUGAAUCACUGUGAAAGAAUUAUGGCUUUCUGCUCAGUAGGCUGCCUAAAAAGAACAAAGGUCUCUCUGAGUUCACACACUUUCUCAGACAAUUGGCCCAUAAGCCAGUGCACAUUGUUAUGCAGCAUAAGGUUAUAAUGUUUUGCAUUUCCUAAAACGAGACUGAAGAGAAGUUGAUAAGUGAUGUUAUAGGCUGGAAAUUUUAUGAACCAUGUCACGGUAUCCAUGGUGUCUUUUAUUUUCUAGCUCAUUUUGGCACACUACACUGAUUUAUCAAUAAUGCAGUGAAAUGCUAUUAGCACUGGGAGUGCAGCAGUUAGUCUGCUUAACAGACCCUUGUGUUGUCCACCCACAGAGCUCCAUCAAUAACAGUCAUGCCUUUUCCAAGGCUAAGUUAUUUAUUUAAUUUAUCUUUUAAAUUCUCACAUGUCAUACAAACCUCCAUAAGAAUUUACUUCUAUAGAACACGAAGAUGUUUUGCAAAAUGUACAAGCUGCUUUUUUCCAGUGGAGUAAACUGUGACCAGUGGCAAUCAAGCUACAAAAAACACAAUAAAUGCAGUCAAUAAGACUUCUUUUUGUAGUCUUAUAAAUUCAUACUAUAUCUUUGGAAACUCGACUCAAAUCUGAAGUUAUUGUUUCCCAAAAAUGUUAUUCUCCGCCAUAGUUCUGAAAUUGU
This is a long non-coding RNA of Carassius carassius (crucian carp), 1606 nucleotides long. RefSeq lists it as uncharacterized. Lineage: Eukaryota; Metazoa; Chordata; Actinopteri; Cypriniformes; Cyprinidae. The record is from RefSeq and is a predicted model, not a curated record. The transcript is spliced from 4 exons.